UCGCGCGUGGCGCUCGGGCAUGCAUCGAGUCUACUCAGUUUAUUAUUAUUAUCAUAAUAAUAAACUGAGUAGACUCGAUGCAUGCCCGAGCGCCACGCGCG
Molecule: microRNA precursor, 101 nt
Filed under: Paramuricea clavata
Lineage: Eukaryota; Metazoa; Cnidaria; Anthozoa; Malacalcyonacea; Plexauridae
Source: RNAcentral